CCUUUGGAGAGCCAUAAAAAAUCGUAGUAGCUUAGGCAAGGCGAGGUUCAAUGAAGAAGGAA
Clostridium perfringens str. 13 is the source of this 62-nucleotide small RNA. It matches the Rfam family "RAGATH-18 RNA". Rfam says of the family: Actinobacteria, Firmicutes, Fusobacteria, Thermotogae (1 example). Nearby to self-cleaving ribozyme genes NCBI's taxonomy places the organism in Bacteria, Bacillati, Bacillota, Clostridia, Eubacteriales, Clostridiaceae. The record is from Rfam.